AAGGGUUUCGUUCUGGUCGUUCCUAUUGGGUCAAACUGGUCCAGAUAACACCUCCCCCAGGACCGUCCUCCCUUUCCCUUCUAAAUGAAGCAAACUGCAAACCUAACCGGCUGGCACGAGCGUCGCCAGCAGGAGAGGAACUGGCUCCGCUCUCUCACGCAGUUACACGCACGUCGUCGUCUCGAGGGAGGAGUGGGUGGGAGGAGAAGGCGGCGGCGGCAGUUUCGAUCUGUGCUCUGCCUUACGCGGGAGGCAGCGGAUCGAUCUGGACGAACUGGCUGCCGGAAGGAUGGGAGGAAGAAACCAUCGUUGGCCGGCUGGGGGUCAGCAGGUCCGGAUCCGCGCAUUGUCUCCUUAUGCGCCAGGUCUCUUUUUCCAACUUCUUCCUCUUGAUUUCCUGGGUGUUAUUUGGUCAAAGGUGUCCUUGAAAGGGGCAUAACUAUUGGCAGUCUUGGUUCAAAGAGUUUCCUAACAUAUGAAAGCAACAUUCUGUUUGCCCUUUGCUUUAUGAUCGAGUGCAACAUUGUUGGUGGCAAUUGGAUUGAACUUCCUGCUGGGAUGUAUAGCAAAGCAACUCGCAUCAUGUCCUAUUGCCAGCUAGAGUUGGAUUGCCUAUAUUCAGAUUUGGUAAGCCAUGGUCCUGAAGGGGAAUACUCUAAGAUGGCCCUCUUUUGCAUAUUAAGUUUAGACAUUGAAUUUGCUGGUCGCAAAGGAUACUUCCCAGAACCAAAUCAUGAUCCGGUUAUUCAGGAAUAUAUUUUUCAUAUAUCGAUGCUCAUCGUUGCCAUGUCUGGCUCUCUGGUUCAUGCUACACAGAAGCUUAGAUCUGUAAUCAAGCUAUGGAAGAGAGUACUGUAAGAGACACUUCUAUAAGCAGAGUUGAAGAGCUCUCCUGGCUUAACAUCUUUCUAGGAUAAUUACGUCGUUAAAUCUGAAGGAUUCACUCAUGUGCCAAAGCCAGCUCGGGGAAGCCUUCCUGGACUCCUAGUCGACCACGGCAACCAUGACACGAUCUUAAGCAAGCGGAACGCCGAAGGAGGAUCUUGGGGAUGACGGAGGCGUCGAUGACAACCUCAAAGGCGAGAGGUAUUGAGACUGCAAAUUGCUUUCAUGUGGCUGCGUUUCUUACUUUAUGCAACUCCGUCUGUAACUCGGUAUUAAGGCCUUAUAGUUGAUGGGGAGCAACGAAAAACUGAAUUUGUGGAUUUUAUAAUUUGGACGAUCUGUUUGAUAGGUCUGCACUGGUGAUGCGGAACAUUGAUCAGGACAGUGUGGGUUUAGAAAUGAGGAAAACAAAUUGGCUUGCAGGGUUUAGGCUACCCUCUUGUGCUUGUUUUGCCUUGUGAUUACUUGAAUUUGCAACCUGCAGAUUGAAUGGGCACUUGAUUUGUUAGGAUGAAAGGCUGAAGCAAUUAAAGCUGCUGCUCUUUGAGCUGUAGUACAUUUGAUUUGAGAGCCGGAUGAGGUCCGCUAAAUUAGGAUUGAAGUCUGCACCAUAAUUAGGAACACUGAACAAGCAAGGCCAUUUAGAUGAAGCCUGCACUUAACACCGUGCAUCACCAUUGCUACUAGCUAAGUAUCUAAUUGGUAAAGGAGUAGCCUCCCAGAGUUGUAGUCGAAGCUUCACGAACAGUGAACUUGUCCACAAACAGACAAGAUGCUUGCCAAUACCUUGUCAUCUUUUAGCGAAUCUUCCGGAAGAUCAACAAUAUAUAGAAAUGAUGUUGAAUAGCACACUUUUGUUGGACAGUGCCUUGAUAUGGAUGAGAAUGUUAACAAAGCACCAUGUCUUGUGCACCACUCUGGUAAUGUGCACAUGCUCAACGGGAUCUGCAUCAGAUCGGUGGUCUUGGUCUCAUCCAUGUACUGAAGAAAUCAUAUGCUUCAGUACACAUAAAACUUCAGAAAAAAAAUCCAACUACAGUGACAGGAGCAUGGUCCUUCACAGUAAAAAUUUGCAAGAUGAUGACCUUAUCUUGUAAUGUGCUGAUGCAGUGAUACCUUACUCGGAAGUAUAUUGAAGUACAUCACUCCAUGUUAGAACAUACUUCUUCUGUCCGGAAUUGGUUGACGCUCAAACUAAUUCCGGGCAGAGGGAGUAUAUUUCAAUUUUCUUUCAGAGUUGUUUUACAACAUGGCCUAGUUAUGGUUCACUUUCAGUGAACACAAUGAUUAUUAAUUUCAGGUGAACCCCACAAAUCCACAACCACGAGGCACACACUAAGUUUUUCUGAUAAUAUUGUAAAGAAGGUGCCACAGAUUACCGUACCUGAGAUAAAUGUACCAAUUGCUUUUGCAGCAGAACUGUGAACAUCAUCAGCAUCAGCCUACAGGCUACAGCAAAUCUUUGAGAAGACUACACCCACGUGAUCUGAUUGCAGAGCUAACACUUUUGCCUCUUGAGUUGGUGCUGCAUACAAUGAUUUAGUUGAAUAAAUUAAUUUUUUUUAGAAAAGGAGGAUGACCCCCGGCCUUUGCAUCUGGGAGAUGCAUACGGCCACUUUAUUGAUUAUUCUCGAGGACCUUACAAAGAGUUACAACAAUAAGUCUGAAUCCACCAUCUAGGCAACAUAUGCCGCUACUCUUAUCCAUAUGAUGAAGGGGUGCUAACUGGGCCACUACCCAGACCACUCACCUAAUCCUAACAUCAAAAGCCGGAAUCCCCAGCCUAGCUACAUACCGGGUUUGGGGCAUAAACCGGUCUGACGCACUCACAGGUGUCGUCUCCACCAUCUUCCACUGGUCCAUCUCCAAGCAGAUUGAGGUGUCAACCUUGGCAGGCUCCUCCGCCAUCAACGCCACCAUGACGACCACCACCUACAAUAGAACAUCGCCAAGCAGAUGGAGCGCUACCACAAGAUGAAGAUCAGCGGUAGAAUAGAUAAAACGCCGGACACAUUGCCGCCGCCAAACACCUCACACGCACCACAAAGCGCCCACCGUGCUUCCGGGAACCCCGGGCGACGCCUUCAAGAAGGAUCACGAUGAUGGUACGACGCCGUCGCACGCAAGGGGAACUAGAGCUUUAGCCCAAAUGAAGAGCACAGUGAGAAUAAAUUAUAAUGCUGGUAAAGCUCACUUGUUUUCUCCUUUGAUCUGAAUGGCAUGGAAAAUCUUCAUUCAUUUCAUUUAGUAAUUUUACUUAAUUUUCUAUGCUAUUCAGUAAACCUUGCUUUUUUAAAUGAAGCCAAAGCUUUCAUCCCUCUUACAUAAAAGAUAAAACAAAUAUCGGGAUGCUAACAACUACUGUCAGUUUGCUAACAAUCGAUGACUAAUGUGUGUGGACGUAUGAAAAUGGUAGGAUGAGACGCUUUGUGGCCCUGCAGCAAUACA
Triticum urartu is the source of this 3333-nucleotide non-coding RNA. NCBI's taxonomy places the organism in Eukaryota, Viridiplantae, Streptophyta, Magnoliopsida, Poales, Poaceae. The record is from RefSeq and is a predicted model, not a curated record.